Ixodes scapularis (black-legged tick) is the source of this 73-nucleotide non-coding RNA. The record is from Rfam. Lineage: Eukaryota; Metazoa; Arthropoda; Arachnida; Ixodida; Ixodidae.
CCCUGGCUAGCUCAAUUGGUAGAGCGCUCCACCUGUAAUGGAGAGGUCCCGGGUUCAAUACCCGGACCAGGCG